This 500-nucleotide ribosomal RNA is filed under the name uncultured bacterium. RNAcentral's name for it is "bacterial SSU rRNA". It matches the Rfam family "Bacterial small subunit ribosomal RNA", at positions 8 to 526 of the family's 1533-position model. The record is from RNAcentral.
AGGGUUCGAUUAUGGCUCAGGACGAACGCUGGCGGCAUGCCUAACACAUGCAAGUCGAACGAGAAAGCUCCUUCGGGAGCAAUUAAAGUGGCGCACGGGUGAGUAACGCGUAGACAAUCUGCCCUUCAGUCUGGGACAACUUUUCGAAAGGAGAGCUAAUACCGGAUAACAAUAUUUGGCAUAAGCCAAAUAUUUGAAAGCUUUAUGUGCUGAGGGAGGGGUCUGCGUCCCAUUAGCUUGUUGGUAAGGUAACGGCUUACCAAGGCAACGAUGGGUAGCGGGUUUGAGAGGACGAUCCGCCACACUGGAACUGAGACACGGUCCAGACUCCUACGGGAGGCAGCAGUGGGGAAUAUUGCACAAUGGAGGAAACUCUGAUGCAGCAAUGCCGCGUGAGUGAAGAAGGCCCUUGGGUCGUAAAGCUCUUUUAUGAGGGAAGAUGAUGACGGUACCUCAGGAAUAAGCACCGGCUAACUACGUGCCAGCCGCCGCGGUAAUAC